GACGAACGCUGGCGGCGUGCUUAACACAUGCAAGUCGAACGAAGAGCGAUGGAAGCUUGCUUCUAUCAAUCUUAGUGGCGAACGGGUGAGUAACGCGUAAUCAACCUGCCCUUCAGAGGGGGACAACAGUUGGAAACGACUGCUAAUACCGCAUACGAUCUAAUCUCGGCAUCGAGGAUAGAUGAAAGGUGGCCUCUACAUGUAAGCUAUCACUGAAGGAGGGGAUUGCGUCUGAUUAGCUAGUUGGAGGGGUAACGGCCCACCAAGGCGAUGAUCAGUAGCGGGUGGGAAGGGAAGAAGGGACAAAUGGGGAUUGGAGACAGGCCCGAAACCCGGGGGGGGGGAGGAGGGGGAAAACUUCGGAAAGGGGGGAGAGUUGUGAGGAAGACAGAGCGGGGGGGGGGAGAGGGCUUGGGGUUGGAAAACUCGGUUAAGGGGGAAAAAAGCCCUUCAGGGGAAGAGUGGAAAGGUUUGACGGAACCGAAAAGAAAAGCAGGGGCUAAGUAGGUA
This 510-nucleotide ribosomal RNA is filed under the name uncultured bacterium. RNAcentral describes it as "partial 16S ribosomal RNA". The stretch from base 20 to 353 matches the Rfam family "Bacterial small subunit ribosomal RNA", at positions 47 to 358 of the family's 1533-position model. The record is from RNAcentral.